UUUAUGACCAGAAGAAUCUCCACUUUCCCCGACACACCCUUUGCGGCACAGUACCUCAAUCUGCACCUACUCACCAACUGGCCAAACUUGGUCUUGGUUAUACCACCAGAGGAGGAAUGUCCAGGAUCCAACAUGGCGCCAGUCACCUAUGUGUCACUAAUUAAUUAAACAAAUUGAGAAGAAACCUGGGAAGGGAAAGGAGGCAGGAAGCAGAGAAAAACAAUCCUUAAAAUCUGUUUCCGAUACCAUCAGGGAAAUUGUGGAGAAAGCAAGGAAGGUUAGUCAUCACCUCUACUGUUUUCCUUUCAAUAACAUGUCCUCGCACAACUGGAUUAUUUCAUUAGAGUUGGGUUUCAUUCUUCCUGAAAAAUGAUACCCCUGGGAAGGAUGACAUAAUAGAAAGACUGAGUGGAGCAAGGUAGAUUUUGCAUGUUACUCACAACCAUGAAGCCUUCAGGGCCUGGCAUGUAGGAAAGACGUACUAGUUGUUGUUAGUUUAUUUAUUUAUUUACUACUAGUACUACUGCUGCUGCUACUACUACUACUACUACUACUACUGCUACUACUACUACUACUACUACUGCCACUGUCAUGAUUAUAGUCAGUAUGGACUAUAAGCUCCAUGAAGAUAGGAAUCUAUUCAUUGCAGUAUUUCCUAGCUUCACUUGGAAUGGAGCAAAAUGUCAAAGCUCA
RNAcentral lists this long non-coding RNA (693 nucleotides) under Ictidomys tridecemlineatus (thirteen-lined ground squirrel). Its description in RNAcentral is "lncRNA (ENSSTOG00000034916.1)". Lineage: Eukaryota; Metazoa; Chordata; Mammalia; Rodentia; Sciuridae. The record is from RNAcentral.